AUACGAGUUAAUAAAUGCAUUGCACAUAAAAUAUACCUUAAUUACAGGGUACCAAAUGUAAAACGUUACAAUAACACUAGUUAAAAGAGUAAAAGAAAAUGCUCAGGUUGUCUGCGACCAUGAGUGGUACAUGCUUCAAUGAGGGAAGUUACAAGCGGUUAGAAUUAUUCGCUGAAGGUCUGCUAGUCAGGGAGAAGGCCCUAUGUGAGUAUAGUUGGACCCAGUGAGGCGUUGUGUUAUGCCAGUGGUGCAUAGAGUGCCCAUGGGUGCCAUAUUUUAUGAGAAUGCGAGUUUAGGGAAAGGCAGUUAGUUCUUCCAUCUGCUUACUAUCUACUCUUUGUCUCCAUUCCAUUAUUGGGGGUACUUGAGGGGACCACCAAUGAAGGGGGAUCAGCAACUUUGCCACUAGUAGCAAUAGUGGUAAGCAAGAUUUUUUCAGUUUAGCUAUAGAAAUAUCUGUAUGCAGGACUAAACUUUCUGCAGGACUGAAUGAUAUCUGGUGGCCACUACUUGACUGAAUGAGAGGAAUGAUAUCUUCCCAGAAU
Non-coding RNA from Pelobates cultripes (western spadefoot toad), 545 nucleotides. The record is from the annotation of a GenBank genome assembly. NCBI's taxonomy places the organism in Eukaryota, Metazoa, Chordata, Amphibia, Anura, Pelobatidae.